This is a long non-coding RNA of Anguilla anguilla (European eel), 1937 nucleotides long. RefSeq lists it as uncharacterized. The record is from RefSeq and is a predicted model, not a curated record. The transcript is spliced from 3 exons. Lineage: Eukaryota; Metazoa; Chordata; Actinopteri; Anguilliformes; Anguillidae.
GCACUGAAUCGACCCCAGUUGGUCCAGAAUGCCGCUGCUAGGCUGCUGACUAGAUCCCGCUGAAGGGAUCAUAUAACCCCCAUGUUGGCCAUGCUUCACUGGCUACCAGUUAAAUUCAGGAUCAAUUUUAAAAUCAUGGUGACGACUUACAAGGCAUUACAUGGUCAGGCUCCUGCAUACAUUAGUGAACUGCUGUCUCCAUACUCCACCGGUAGGCCUCUUAGGUUUUCGGACCAAGGACUGCUGGCUAUCCCUCGGUCUAAACGGAAGACGAAGGGUGAUCGUGCUUUUGCCACUUUGGCGCCUAGGUUAUGGAACAGCCUUCCCAUUGAUUUCAGAUAUGCAAACACUGUGGACACUUUUAAGCGGUGUCUAAAGACUUAUUUGUUCAGACAGGCUUUUAAUUGGUGCCCAAAUUGCUUUAUGCUGUUGUUUUUACCGAUGUGUGUGUAUGUGUGUGUGUAUACAUUUGCUGCUUUUAUUUGCACCUUGUGAAGCAUUUUGUGGCCCUUGUUCUUGAAAAGUGCUAUAUAAAUAAAGUUUACUUAUUUACUUAAUCGUGAUUAAGGAAGAAGGUAUAAGCAGGGUCAGACUUAGAUGUUUAAAGUUUGUAAUCAGCAUGGGUGUGCCUCUUGAAGACUUAGACAGAUGUAUCUAAAGUUCCAGAAAGCAGAAAGGCUAGAUUUGGAAUGUAUGUGGCACAACUUGAAUUCAAACAAGGUAAUCAAAUCACAGAUGAGGUGUUGGUUUUUACUGCUGAUCUGCUAGCGAUAAUUUGGCUGCUAUGGCGGAUGAAGAAAGCGAGACCUGGCAGUGUCAUUCUGCUUCAGCUUCUGUCUUGUUGGCUUUGAUGAGCCGUAAAUCAGAAGCACGUCAGAUCUAGUGAACAAGAUUCUGAUGUAUUUAUCCACACUACAGAAUACUUUGGUAUGUGGGAUGGGAAACAGUAAAAUGUUCAGUGUUAGUUCAACUCGUAACAGAGUACAUAUGGUGCUACUAUGCAACCAAGCAGGACCAUAUAUCCUCUGUCAGAGUUGAAUGUUUUACUGUGUUCUGUUGGUUCCGGGACAUUCUGGGCUUGAGGGAAAUUGACAGGUGGUACAUCUUCGCAGAAUAUCAGAAUCAUAUCAAGAGGGAAUUAUAAGGCCCAUGGCAGGAGAUAUGGGAAAAUUAUGAAAGAGGGAGGCUUUAGCCUACCUUUCAAUUCAAGAAUCCAUCCAAAAAUUUAAAUAUCUAUGACAGGAGAAAGGAUCAAUGUAAUUAAACUAACAACAUUAAGACUGGGGCACUGUGGGUAAAUCGAUGGUUAAACAUGGUAGGGAAGCGCCCAGAUCGGUUAUGUGAUUUGCAUGCCUGAGUUGAACAUAUUAUAACAUUUAAGAAUUACCAGAAGUAGAAGAGGAUAUUAUUCAAAGAUGUUUCAGAAUUAUGAGUUCGAAACAAAAAAAAUCAGCAACAAAUUUAAAGGAAAGUUGUGAAUUUUUUGGAAGUUUUUUAUUAACCAGCGGAGGGCAGUAUAGGCCUCGAACCAUUGACAUUACCGAAAAUUGUAAAAGAAGACAAAGAAGACGUCAUUGUGUUUUGUCAACGCGCUUGCGUAUAAGAACCUUUUACUUGAAAAAGAACGGAGUCUCGAAUGGAGCUGUUGCCACUGCUGAAGACCCAUCAGCCAUUGCAACUAACCAGUCAGCAACUACCUUCUCUUCGGAGCAACCAAUCAAAUAUCUGUGAAAGACUGAGGGAGCUGGGGGGCAGAUACUGUCAAGGAGCUGAACCCUCCCACUACACAGAUGGAUGUUGAGAAAUGGAGUACUGACACAUGCAAACGGCUUCAAAACAUAGACCUUAUUGACGGCAAAGAGACUUUGUUCUUAUUUUAUGCUGUACUGUACUAUUGCACUGUUAAAUCUGAAUAAAUUGAAAUGUUUUUCCCCUGA